This 496-nucleotide ribosomal RNA is filed under the name uncultured bacterium. RNAcentral's name for it is "partial 16S ribosomal RNA". It matches the Rfam family "Bacterial small subunit ribosomal RNA", at positions 29 to 507 of the family's 1533-position model. The record is from RNAcentral.
AUGAACGCUGGCGGCGUGCCUCAUACAUGCAAGUUGCGCGAACGGACGAGAAGCUUGCUUCUCUGAUGUUAGCGGCGGACGGGUGAGUAACACGUGGAUAACCUACCUAUAAGACUGGGAUAACUUCGGGAAACCGGAGCUAAUACCGGAUGAUAUUUUGAACCGCAUGGUUCAAAAGUGAAAGACGGUCUUGCUGUCACUUAUAGAUGGAUCCGCGCUGCAUUAGCUAGUUGGUAAGGUAACGGCUUACCAAGGCAACGAUGCAUAGCCGACCUGAGAGGGUGAUCGGCCACACUGGAACUGAGACACGGUCCAGACUCCUACGGGAGGCAGCAGUAGGGAAUCUUCCGCAAUGGGCGAAAGCCUGACGGAGCAACGCCGCGUGAGUGAUGAAGGUCUUCGGAUCGUAAAACUCUGUUAUUAGGGAAGAACAUAUGUGUAAGUAACUGUGCACAUCUUGACGGUACCUAAUCAGAAAGCCACGGCUAACUACGUG